AUUGUCACAUAUUUUAUUUGCAACACUAAGGCUCUUCCAAAUGGGUCCAUCAUCCAUAUAAUUAAAUACAGACAUGUAAAAUAAAAUGGCUACAGCAAGAAUCGGAGUGAGGCGCAAAUAACGGUGAAUAUACAUCAUUGGAGCCCAUAAUCAGUAGUAGUCCACUAAGAAAGAAAAAUGAGUCCACAGCAAUUGAGCCGCUCUGUUCAAUCAUCGAAAAUGGCGUUUGUUCCCACUAUAUAAAAAAUGUAUAAAUUAGAUAUAGAAGAGAUAUCAUUAUUUAUUAGCAGCAAUUAAACUUUUAACUCACUCACA
Molecule: long non-coding RNA, 315 nt
Organism: Bactrocera dorsalis (oriental fruit fly)
Lineage: Eukaryota; Metazoa; Arthropoda; Insecta; Diptera; Tephritidae
Exons: 2
Source: RefSeq, a predicted model, not a curated record